CCCUUUUUUUACAAAACAUGUCUUAUUGUUUAUUUAUAUUAGGUUUGACCUGCCCAAUGAUUGUUAUAAUUUAAUGGCCGCAGUAUCUUGACUGUGCGAAGGUAGCAUAAUCAUUUGUCUCUUAAUUAGGGACUUGUAUGAAUGGUUUGAUGAAAUAUUAACUUUCUUUAUAUUAAUGUUAUGAAUUUAAUUUUUGAGUUAAAAGGCUUAAAUUUUUUUAAGGGACGAGAAGACCCUAUAGAAUUUAAUUAUUUAUUGAUAUAUUGAUUUUUUUGUUAUUAAUAAUUUAUUAUGUUAAAAAUAAUUAUGUUGGGGCGACAGGGAAAUUUAAUUAACUUUCUUUAUUAACUUAAAAUUAUUGCUAUAUAUAUAUAAAGAUCCUUAUGUUUUGGAUUAUAAGAUUAAAUUACCUUAGGGAUAACAGCGUAAUUUUAUCAGAGAGUUCUUAUUGAUGAUAAAGUUUGCGACCUCGAUGUUGGAUUAAAAUAAGUUUUAAGUGCAGCAGCUUAAUGACUAGGUCUGUUCGACCUUUAAUUUUUUACAUGAUCUGGUUUUCAA
This 558-nucleotide ribosomal RNA is filed under the name Cyrtocoris egeris. RNAcentral describes it as "partial large subunit ribosomal RNA". It matches the Rfam family "Archaeal large subunit ribosomal RNA", at positions 1891 to 2684 of the family's 2987-position model. Lineage: Eukaryota; Metazoa; Arthropoda; Insecta; Hemiptera; Pentatomidae. The record is from RNAcentral.